RNAcentral lists this ribosomal RNA (465 nucleotides) under Vreelandella stevensii. RNAcentral's name for it is "partial 16S ribosomal RNA". It matches the Rfam family "Bacterial small subunit ribosomal RNA", at positions 338 to 795 of the family's 1533-position model. The record is from RNAcentral. Lineage: Bacteria; Pseudomonadati; Pseudomonadota; Gammaproteobacteria; Oceanospirillales; Halomonadaceae.
GCUACGGGGUGCAGCAGUGGGGAAUAUUGGACAAUGGGGGCAACCCUGAUCCAGCCAUGCCGCGUGUGUGAAGAAGGCCCUCGGGUUGUAAAGCACUUUCAGUGAGGAAGAACGCCUGGUGGUUAAUACCCAUCAGGAAAGACAUCACUCACAGAAGAAGCACCGGCUAACUCCGUGCCAGCAGCCGCGGUAAUACGGAGGGUGCGAGCGUUAAUCGGAAUUACUGGGCGUAAAGCGCGCGUAGGUGGCUUGAUAAGCCGGUUGUGAAAGCCCCGGGCUCAACCUGGGAACGGCAUCCGGAACUGUCAAGCUAGAGUGCAGGAGAGGAAGGUAGAAUUCCCGGUGUAGCGGUGAAAUGCGUAGAGAUCGGGAGGAAUACCAGUGGCGAAGGCGGCCUUCUGGACUGACACUGACACUGAGGUGCGAAAGCGUGGGUAGCAAACAGGAUUAGAUACCCUAGUAGUC